UUGAACGCUGGCGGCAUGCCUUACACAUGCAAGUUGAACGGUAGAGGGGCAACCCUUGAGAGUGGCGAACGGGUGAGUAAUGCAUCGGAACGUGCCCAGUCGUGGGGGAUAACGCAGCGAAAGCUGUGCUAAUACCGCAUGUGAUCUGUGGAUGAAAGCAGGGGACCGCAAGGCCUUGUGCGAUUGGAGCGGCCGAUGUCAGAUUAGCUAGUUGGUAGGGUAAAAGCCUACCAAGGCGACGAUCUGUAGCUG
Molecule: ribosomal RNA, 252 nt
Filed under: uncultured bacterium
Lineage: Bacteria
Description: partial 16S ribosomal RNA
Rfam family: Bacterial small subunit ribosomal RNA
Source: RNAcentral